RNAcentral lists this transfer RNA (57 nucleotides) under Muntiacus reevesi (Reeves' muntjac). It matches the Rfam family "tRNA", at positions 8 to 63 of the family's 71-position model. Rfam says of the family: Transfer RNA (tRNA) molecules are approximately 80 nucleotides in length. Their secondary structure includes four short double-helical elements and three loops (D, anti-codon, and T loops). RNAcentral also lists the same sequence under 5 other names. Lineage: Eukaryota; Metazoa; Chordata; Mammalia; Artiodactyla; Cervidae. The record is from Rfam by way of RNAcentral.
UGGCUCAGACGGUAAAGCAUCUGCCUACAAUGCAGGAGACCCAGGUUUGAUCCCUGG